Molecule: long non-coding RNA, 373 nt
Organism: Dufourea novaeangliae
Lineage: Eukaryota; Metazoa; Arthropoda; Insecta; Hymenoptera; Halictidae
Exons: 3
Source: RefSeq, a predicted model, not a curated record
AUGAACUGUAUGCGGUUUCGAGGAAAAUUCCGACUAUUCUCGAACAAGAGGCUGAAGUGGUUCACGGAACUCUUUGUUUACAACGAACCGACGAUAUUUUUAUAUCCGACGGUGGUUCGAGUCUGCUCACCGCAAAGACGCAAGACAACUGCCACAAAGUACCCAGCAAGACAUCCGUACGUGUCCACCAGGGAAGGCCAAUGGACCACUGUCAACAGUUGCGGGAACAGCACCACGUAAACGAGAUCGGAGCUGAGAUAAUAAACGCUGUCCACCGUAAGGGCGAUUGCGGUUGACAGUACCGUGAUCACGACCAUAGAGAUCCUGAGUAUCCAGUUAAGCUCCCUGUCGGACGCCUGAAACGAUCCAGAAG